AUGCCAGGGGAAGGGGGCGCCGGGGCACAGGGUGAGGGUCGGGUACUACAACCGCAAGUGCCCCGCGCGGAGAUCAUCGUCAGGGCCGUCGUCGGCAAGGCCGUCUCCCGGAACCCCGGCCUCGGCGCCGGCAUCAUUCGCAUGGCCUUCCACGACUGCUUCGUCCAGGGCUGUGACGCGUCGGUGCUGCUGGACCCGACGCCGGCGAACCCGCGGCCGGAGAAGCUCGGCCCGCCCAACUUCCCCAGUCUGCGCGGCUUCGAGGUGAUCGACGCGGCCAAGGCGGUCCUCGAGAGGAUCUGCCCUAGAGUCGUCUCCUGCGCCGACGUCAUCGCCUUCGCCGCACGCGACUCCGCCUUCUUCCUCAGCAGCAGCAGGAUCGACUACAAGAUGCCGGCGGGGCGGUUCGACGGGAGCGUGUCGCUCGAGAGCGAGGCGCUGCAGUUCCUCCCCCCGCCCUUCUCCAACCUCACGCAGCUCGUCGACAGCUUCAAGGCCAAGAACAUGAACGAGGACGACCUCGUGGUGCUCUCCGGCGCGCACACCAUCGGCGUGUCGCACUGCUCCUCUUUCACCGACCGCCUGCCCCCGAACCCCUCAGACAUGAACCCCGGCCUCACCAGGCUGCUGCAGAGCAAGUGCCCCGUCAGCCCCAACUUCACCAACGACCCCACGGUGGCGCAGGACAUCGUCACCCCCAACCGGAUGGACAACAUGUAUUACACCAACCUGCUCAAGCGGAACGUGCUCUUCAUCUCCGACGCGGCCUGCCAGAAGAUGCCAUAG
RNAcentral lists this ribosomal RNA (786 nucleotides) under Triticum aestivum (bread wheat). Its description in RNAcentral is "partial small subunit ribosomal RNA". The record is from RNAcentral. Lineage: Eukaryota; Viridiplantae; Streptophyta; Magnoliopsida; Poales; Poaceae.